UUCCAGUGAAGAGAACUCACCUGUCUGACCUGUCCCAGUCCCAGUUCCUAUCAAGGUGAUCUCACUAGGACAGCCGUGGGUGAAAGAGAAAAUUUAUCCCAAAAGAAACUGAGAAAC
Small nucleolar RNA from Suncus etruscus (white-toothed pygmy shrew), 117 nucleotides. RefSeq annotates it as small nucleolar RNA SNORD22. Lineage: Eukaryota; Metazoa; Chordata; Mammalia; Eulipotyphla; Soricidae. The record is from RefSeq and is a predicted model, not a curated record. The transcript has a single exon.